UACGUAGGGUGCAAGCGUUAUCCGGAUUUACUGGGCGUAAAGCGCGUUCAGGCGGUUUGGCAAGUCGGGCAUGAAAUCUCUCGGCUCAACCGGGAGAGGUUGUCCGAUACUGCUGGACUUGAGGGCAGUAGAGGGUGGUGGAAUUCCGGGUGUAGUGGUGAAAUGCGUAGAUAUCCGGAGGAACACCAGUGGCGAAAGCGGCCACCUGGACUGUACCUGACGCUCAAACGCGAAAGCUAGGGGAGCGAACGGG
Molecule: ribosomal RNA, 253 nt
Filed under: uncultured bacterium
Lineage: Bacteria
Description: partial 16S ribosomal RNA
Rfam family: Bacterial small subunit ribosomal RNA
Source: RNAcentral